GUCUUUUUGAUUAUAAUUUAAAGUCUGACCUGCCCAAUGAGUAUUUGAAUGGCCGCGGUAAUUUGACCGUGCAAAGGUAGCAUAAUCAUUAGUUUUUUAAUUGAAAGCUGGAAUGAACGGUUGGACGAGAAAAUAACUGUCUCAAUUUAAUUGAAUAUAGAAUUUUAUUUAUAAGUAAAAAAGCUUAUAUAAUUUUAAAAGACGAGAAGACCCUAUAGAGUUUUAUAUUUUAGUAUAUUAAUUAGGUUUAGUAUGUUUAUAUUUUUGAUAUAUUAACAUAUUUUGCUGGGGCAGCAGAAAAAUUUAAAUAACUUUUUUUAUUAUUAUUACAUUGAUUUAUGAGUGUUUGAUCCAUUUUUUAUGAUUAUAAGAUUAAAUUACCUUAGGGAUAACAGCGUAAUUUUUUUUUAGAGUUCUUAUCGAAAAAAGAGUUUGCGACCUCGAUGUUGGAUUAAAAUUAACUUUUGGUGUAGGGGCUAAAAGGUUAGGUCUGUUCGACCUUUAAAAUUUUACA
RNAcentral lists this ribosomal RNA (514 nucleotides) under Anomala mesosticta. RNAcentral describes it as "partial 16S ribosomal RNA". It matches the Rfam family "Bacterial large subunit ribosomal RNA", at positions 1819 to 2600 of the family's 2925-position model. The record is from RNAcentral. Lineage: Eukaryota; Metazoa; Arthropoda; Insecta; Coleoptera; Scarabaeidae.